GGUUAAAAUAAUUAAGGGCACAUAGGGAAUGCCUAGGUAGUAAGAGCCGAUGAAGGACGUGGUAAGCUGCGAUAAGCUCAGGGGAGUUGCAAUCGAACGUUGAUC
RNAcentral lists this ribosomal RNA (105 nucleotides) under Fusobacterium mortiferum. RNAcentral describes it as "partial 23S ribosomal RNA". It matches the Rfam family "Bacterial large subunit ribosomal RNA", at positions 1 to 104 of the family's 2925-position model. Lineage: Bacteria; Fusobacteriati; Fusobacteriota; Fusobacteriia; Fusobacteriales; Fusobacteriaceae. The record is from RNAcentral.